GUGAUGAGGGCUGGGUUGCCGAGCGGUGGCGAAUUAGGAGCCUACUGA
This 48-nucleotide small nucleolar RNA is filed under the name Pyrobaculum aerophilum str. IM2. RNAcentral's name for it is "PAEsR43". The record is from RNAcentral. Lineage: Archaea; Thermoproteati; Thermoproteota; Thermoprotei; Thermoproteales; Thermoproteaceae.